GACGAACGCUGGCGGCGUGCUUAACACAUGCAAGUCGAACGGAAAGGCCCUGCUUUUGUGGGGUGCUCGAGUGGCGAACGGGUGAGUAACACGUGAGUAACCUGCCCUUGACUUUGGGAUAACUUCAGGAAACUGGGGCUAAUACCGGAUAGGAGCUCCUGCUGCAUGGUGGGGGUUGGAAAGUUUCGGCGGUUGGGGAUGGACUCGCGGCUUAUCAGCUUGUUGGUGGGGUAGUGGCUUACCAAGGCUUUGACGGGUAGCCGGCCUGAGAGGGUGACCGGCCACAUUGGGACGGAGAUACGGCCCAGACUCCUACGGGAGGCAGCAGUGGGGAAUAUUGCACAAUGGGCGGAAGCCGGAUGCAGCAACGCCGCGUGCGGGAUGACGGCCUUCGGGUUGUAAACCGCUUUCGCCUGUGACGAAGCGUGAGUGACGGUAAUGGGUAAAGAAGCACCGGCUAACUACGU
This 467-nucleotide ribosomal RNA is filed under the name uncultured bacterium. RNAcentral describes it as "partial 16S ribosomal RNA". It matches the Rfam family "Bacterial small subunit ribosomal RNA", at positions 28 to 506 of the family's 1533-position model. The record is from RNAcentral.